Molecule: small nuclear RNA, 99 nt
Filed under: Castor canadensis (American beaver)
Lineage: Eukaryota; Metazoa; Chordata; Mammalia; Rodentia; Castoridae
Source: RNAcentral
GUGCUCACUUCAGCAGCACAUGUACUAAAAUUGGAAUGAUAAUUAGCAGGGCCCCUGUGCAAGGAUGACACGCAAAUUCAUGAAGUGUUCCAUAAAAAA